Molecule: ribosomal RNA, 337 nt
Filed under: Petalonia fascia
Lineage: Eukaryota; Phaeophyceae; Ectocarpales; Scytosiphonaceae
Description: eukaryotic LSU rRNA
Rfam family: 5.8S ribosomal RNA (bases 1-68)
Source: RNAcentral
AUCAUCAAAACUUUGAACGCAUCUUGCGCUUCCGGGAUAUGCCUGGGAGCAUGCUUGUCGGAGUGUCUGUUGACACAUCUCGCCCCCCCGUCUCUGUUUCCUUCUGGGAAAGAGAGGCGAGAGGGCGGACUCUGCGUGUUCCGGAGCGCGAGCUCCGAGUGCACCGAACCUCGUGAACGCGAGACCUCUACUGCUGAUUGCACAGAGUUGUUGACGGCGUGUCUGCUUCGGCGGCGCGACUCUCUACUCGCCACGUGCCUUCGGUCUAGGAUUGGUCGUAGUUCCGGCAGAGCUGUGCUCGCACAGCACUACCCCAACUUUCGUUCGGACCUCCGAU